RNAcentral lists this transfer RNA (96 nucleotides) under Streptomyces viridiviolaceus. RNAcentral's name for it is "tRNA-Thr". The record is from RNAcentral. Lineage: Bacteria; Bacillati; Actinomycetota; Actinomycetes; Kitasatosporales; Streptomycetaceae.
GGGCUCCUGGCUGCGGGUCGAGGGCGACCGCGCCGUCGUCGGGGGCGAACGGGACGCCCGGCUGUUCCGCCGCGGGUCGGCUCCGCGGGAGAUCGC